This 500-nucleotide ribosomal RNA is filed under the name Cercospora beticola. RNAcentral's name for it is "eukaryotic LSU rRNA". The stretch from base 156 to 309 matches the Rfam family "5.8S ribosomal RNA". Lineage: Eukaryota; Fungi; Ascomycota; Dothideomycetes; Mycosphaerellales; Mycosphaerellaceae. The record is from RNAcentral.
GGAUCAUUACUGAGUGAGGGCCUUCGGGCUCGACCUCCAACCCUUUGUGAACACAACUUGUUGCUUCGGGGGCGACCCUGCCGUUUCGACGGCGAGCGCCCCCGGAGGCCUUCAAACACUGCAUCUUUGCGUCGGAGUUUAAGUAAAUUAAACAAAACUUUCAACAACGGAUCUCUUGGUUCUGGCAUCGAUGAAGAACGCAGCGAAAUGCGAUAAGUAAUGUGAAUUGCAGAAUUCAGUGAAUCAUCGAAUCUUUGAACGCACAUUGCGCCCCUUGGUAUUCCGAGGGGCAUGCCUGUUCGAGCGUCAUUUCACCACUCAAGCCUCGCUUGGUAUUGGGCGCCGCGGUGUUCCGCGCGCCUCAAAGUCUCCGGCUGAGCUGUCCGUCUCUAAGCGUUGUGAUUUCAUUAAUCGCUUCGGAGCGCGGGCGGUCGCGGCCGUUAAAUCUUUCACAAGGUUGACCUCGGAUCAGGUAGGGAUACCCGCUGAACUUAAGCAUA